GAUGAAGAACGUAGCGAAAUGCGAUAAGUAAUGCGAAUUGCAGAAUUUCCGUGAGUCAUCGAAUCUUUGAACGCACCUUGCGCUCCUUGGUAUUCCGAGGAGCAUGCCUGUUUGAGUGUCAUUAAAUUCUCAACCUUACCAGCUUUUAUUAGACGGUUUAAGGCUUGGAUGUGGGGGUUUGCGGGCUUCUUCUAGAAGUCGGCUCCCCUUAAAUGCAUUAGUGAAACCUUUGUUGACCAGCUUUGGUGUGAUAAUUAUCUACGCCAUAGUGAAGCAGCUUUUAUAUUGGGGUUUUGCUUCUAACCGUCCUUAACAAGGACAACUCUUGACAAUUUGACCUCAAAUCAGGUAGGACUACCCGCUGAACUUAAGCAUAUCAAUAAGCGGAGGA
RNAcentral lists this unclassified non-coding RNA (391 nucleotides) under soil metagenome. RNAcentral's name for it is "partial contains 5.8S ribosomal RNA, internal transcribed spacer 2, and large subunit ribosomal RNA". The stretch from base 1 to 121 matches the Rfam family "5.8S ribosomal RNA", at positions 35 to 154 of the family's 154-position model. The record is from RNAcentral.